Molecule: ribosomal RNA, 242 nt
Filed under: uncultured Actinomycetales bacterium
Lineage: Bacteria; Bacillati; Actinomycetota; Actinomycetes; Actinomycetales
Description: partial 16S ribosomal RNA
Rfam family: Bacterial small subunit ribosomal RNA
Source: RNAcentral
UGCUCGAGUGGCAACGGGUGAGUAACACGUGGGUGAUCUGCCCUGCACUUCGGGAUAAGCUUGGGAAACUGGGUCUAAUACCGGAUAGGACCAUCGUUUAGUGUCGGUGGUGGAAAGUUUUUUCGGUGUGGGAUGAGCUCGCGGCCUAUCAGCUUGUUGGUGGGGUAAUGGCCUACCAAGGCGUCGACGGGUAGCCGGCCUGAGAGGGUGUACGGCCACAUUGGGACUGAGAUACGGCCCAG